UGAGUAACCUGCCCUUAACUCUGGGAUAAGCCUGGGAAUCUGGGUCUAAUACCGGAUAUGACUCCUCAUCGCAUGGUGGGGGGUGGAAAGCUUUUUGUGGUUUUGGAUGGACUCGCGGCCUAUCAGCUUGUUGGUGAGGUAAUGGCUCACCAAGGCGACGACGGGUAGCCGGCCUGAGAGGGUGACCGGCCACACUGGGACUGAGACACGGCCCAGACCUCCGUACGGGAGCAG
RNAcentral lists this ribosomal RNA (234 nucleotides) under uncultured bacterium. RNAcentral describes it as "partial 16S ribosomal RNA". It matches the Rfam family "Bacterial small subunit ribosomal RNA", at positions 118 to 347 of the family's 1533-position model. The record is from RNAcentral.